Molecule: transfer RNA, 95 nt
Filed under: Cercospora zeae-maydis SCOH1-5
Lineage: Eukaryota; Fungi; Ascomycota; Dothideomycetes; Mycosphaerellales; Mycosphaerellaceae
Rfam family: tRNA
About the family: Transfer RNA (tRNA) molecules are approximately 80 nucleotides in length. Their secondary structure includes four short double-helical elements and three loops (D, anti-codon, and T loops).
Source: Rfam by way of RNAcentral
GGACUGUUGGCCCAAUGGUAAGGCGUCUGACUACGAUUGUACCAUCGGCACGAGCUGUAAUCAGGAGAUUCUGGGUUCGAUCCCCAGGCGGUCCU